This 405-nucleotide long non-coding RNA is filed under the name Carica papaya (papaya). RNAcentral's name for it is "long non-coding RNA (CPAP_LNC008354)". Lineage: Eukaryota; Viridiplantae; Streptophyta; Magnoliopsida; Brassicales; Caricaceae. The record is from RNAcentral.
GGGGACCUUGGUUGGCUUAAAAAAAAUUUGAAAAACAAAACUUACCAGAAGCGAGAUUUUCUGGUGUGGCGGCUCUGCCGGCUCACUUUCGCGGCUGAGUGUUUUUCUUCAGUCAAAAUAUAGAAAAUAAAAUGAUGAACACAAUGGUAGAAAUAUCGCACGAAUGGAAAAUGAGAAGGGACUCAUCGGAGGCGAUUUUUUAUUUUUUCAGCGGCGGCGCCGCUGGCCUUUACCCGCGGUUUCUGGAUCAUCCGCCAUUCAUUUUGCUCUAAUUUGGCCAUGAGGUAUUCAAGAUAAAAUUCUGAGUCAAUAGGAGAAUUUUUACCUUUUUUGGCAAUCAAAUGUGACUCCGGCGCGGCGGCAGUCAGCUCCAUUCUCCAGCGACUGGUUCUUCAUCUCCAGCGU